Molecule: long non-coding RNA, 482 nt
Filed under: Prunus dulcis (almond)
Lineage: Eukaryota; Viridiplantae; Streptophyta; Magnoliopsida; Rosales; Rosaceae
Description: sRNA ncRNA
Source: RNAcentral
CCGAGUGGUACUGGUAUAUAAGAAAGCUGUUGGCUCUGGAAGAAGAGCACUCAGCAAAACCAAGUUGUAUUGUAUCUCUACAACUUCACAAGACAAAGAAGAAGAGAGAGAGAUGGAGGGUGCCACAGCUACUGCCGGGAGAGCAAUGAUGAACGGAGGAGAUUUGUCCAGGAGAUUAUCUGGCCGUCCGAUUCCAAAGAGGGGUCAGGUGAAGAUGGGAAUUGUGGUGGGAUUAGCCAAUUCUGUGGCUUCCAUCUUUGGUCCUCACCGCCGCCGUCAAUCAAUGCACAGCCAGUCAAGGAACAACUCCUAGAGUUACUAAGACUUAUUCGAUUGUUAUUUGUUCAUCAUGUAAUGGAUUUUAAUGUUUGUACAUUGUAGAAUUUGCUUCAAAUAUAUAUUGAAAUGAGAAUUUGUUCAAUCAUUUCAUUUUAUAUUGAUACAAUAUUAUUUAUUUAUUUGUAUUGUUCAAAAAUUUGGCU